This 24-nucleotide unclassified non-coding RNA is filed under the name Mus musculus (house mouse). RNAcentral describes it as "oocyte_clustered_small_RNA2443". Lineage: Eukaryota; Metazoa; Chordata; Mammalia; Rodentia; Muridae. The record is from RNAcentral.
UUUUGCCUCGGGACUCUGUCCAAG